This 379-nucleotide ribosomal RNA is filed under the name uncultured cyanobacterium. Its description in RNAcentral is "bacterial SSU rRNA". It matches the Rfam family "Bacterial small subunit ribosomal RNA", at positions 376 to 770 of the family's 1533-position model. The record is from RNAcentral. Lineage: Bacteria; Bacillati; Cyanobacteriota.
CGAAAGCCUGACGGAGCAACGCCGCGUGAGGGAGGAAGGCCUUAGGGUUGUAAACCUCUUUUCUCUGGGAAGAAGAUCUGACGGUACCAGAGGAAUAAGCCUCGGCUAACUCCGUGCCAGCAGCCGCGGUAAUACGGAGGAGGCAAGCGUUAUCCGGAAUGAUUGGGCGUAAAGCGUUCGUAGGUGGCAAUUCAAGUCUGCUGUCAAAGACAGUAGCUCAACUACUGCAAGGCAGUGGAAACUGAAUAGCUAGAGUGCGGUAGGGGCAGAGGGAAUUCCCGGUGUAGCGGUGAAAUGCGUAGAGAUCGGGAAGAACACCGGUGGCGAAAGCGCUCUGCUGGGCCGCAACUGACACUGAGGGACGAAAGCUAGGGGAGCG